UCCACAGGAGGAGAACAUCUGCCUGCACUGGGCCUCCUUCACGGGCAGCGCCGCCAUCGCCGAAGUUCUUCUGAAUGCGCGCUGCGAUCUCCAUGCUGUCAACUACCACGGGGACACCCCCCUGCACAUCGCAGCUCGGGAGAGCUACCAUGACUGCGUGCUGUUAUUCCUGUCACGUGGAGCCAACCCUGAGCUGCGGAACAAGGAGGGGGACACAGCAUGGGACCUGACUCCCGAGCGCUCCGACGUGUGGUUUGCGCUUCAACUCAACCGCAAGCUCCGACUCGGGGUGGGAAAUCGGGCCAUCCGCACAGAGAAGAUCAUCUGCCGGGACGUGGCUCGGGGCUAUGAGAACGUGCCCAUUCCCUGUGUCAAUGGUGUGGAUGGGGAGCCCUGCCCCGAGGAUUACAAGUACAUCUCGGAGAACUGCGAGACGUCCACCAUGAACAUCGACCGCAACAUCACCCACCUGCAGCACUGCACGUGUGUGGACGACUGCUCCAGCUCCAACUGCCUGUGCGGCCAGCUCAGCAUCCGGUGCUGGUAUGACAAGGAUGGGCGAUUGCUCCAGGAAUUUAACAAGAUUGAGCCCCCACUGAUUUUCGAGUGUAACCAGGCAUGCUCAUGCUGGAGAAACUGCAAGAACCGGGUCGUACAGAGUGGCAUCAAGGUGCGGCUACAGCUCUACCGAACAGCCAAGAUGGGCUGGGGGGUCCGCGCCCUGCAGACCAUCCCACAGGGGACCUUCAUUUGCGAGUAUGUUGGGGAGCUGAUCUCUGAUGCUGAGGCUGAUGUGAGAGAGGAUGAUUCUUACCUCUUCGACUUGGACAACAAGGAUGGAGAAGUGUACUGCAUUGAUGCCCGUUACUAUGGCAACAUCAGCCGCUUCAUCAACCACCUGUGUGACCCCAACAUCAUUCCCGUCCGGGUCUUCAUGCUGCACCAAGACCUGCGAUUUCCACGCAUCGCCUUCUUCAGUUCCCGAGACAUCCGGACUGGGGAGGAGCUAGGGUUUGACUAUGGCGACCGCUUCUGGGACAUCAAAAGCAAGUAUUUCACCUGCCAGUGUGGCUCUGAGAAGUGCAAGCACUCAGCCGAAGCCAUUGCCCUGGAGCAGAGCCGUCUGGCCCGCCUGGACCCACACCCUGAGCUGCUGCCUGAGCUCGGCUCCCUGCCCCCUGUCAACACAUGAGAACGGACCACACCCUCCCUCCCCAGCAUGGAUGGCUACAGCUCAGCCACCUCCUCUGCCACCAGCUGCUCGCAGCCCAUGCCUGGGGGUGCUGCCAUCUUCUCUCCCCACCACCCUUUCACACAUUCCUGACCAGAGAUCCCAGCCAGGCCCUGGAGGUCUGACAGCCCCUCCCUCCCAGAGCUGGUUCCUCCCUGGGAGGGCAACUUCAGGGCUGGUCACUCCCCUGUUCCCCAUCCUCAGUUGAAGUUUGAUGAAUUGAAGUCGGGCCUCUAUGCCAACUGGUUCCUUUUGUUGUCAAUAAAUGUUGGGUUUGGUAAUAAA
Molecule: small RNA, 1516 nt
Filed under: Pongo abelii (Sumatran orangutan)
Lineage: Eukaryota; Metazoa; Chordata; Mammalia; Primates; Hominidae
Description: processed transcript
Source: RNAcentral